AUGGUUCGCCGGUCUGCAUCACCGAAAAUGAAGUGCGCCAGCUAAUGAACAAACCCGUGCUGGAGACUUUCUCCUGGGUCCCUGAAAUAAGCUGGAAGAACCGCCCCACACCCGAAGGACCGAAUGGCCAAUUGUCAGAAAGGCAAUACCGACAGGUGGCUUAUCGAGUUAUUCUGGGGUGGGCCCUCAAAGGUCUGGGACGAGGAAAAGGCGUUGGAUUACCCAGUUGUGUGGUGUGGGCUGUAAGGGAUGCUUUCCCUUCCCCCACUGGACAGUAUGCGGGGUUACCAAGUCAGAUAGAGGACUUAUUCUGACCUUCUUACCCUACUGUCCCUACCUACCUGCACUGUAAAAAAAAAUCUCAAUAAAAAGCUAUUUUUUAAA
Molecule: long non-coding RNA, 384 nt
Organism: Gadus macrocephalus (Pacific cod)
Lineage: Eukaryota; Metazoa; Chordata; Actinopteri; Gadiformes; Gadidae
Exons: 2
Source: RefSeq, a predicted model, not a curated record